GAAUCGAACCCCCAACAAUGGAGAAUUCUCUUACUGCCUUUUCUUGUUAACUAUAGUUCUUCACUUUUAACCCUUUGUCCCAUUAGUAAUGUGACAGAGAAAGACUGAACCUCGGAGAAAACCCUGUCAUGGAGCUCCUUGCUGACUCUCUUACUAUCUUUCCCAGUAAACUAGAGUUGUUCAAUUUUAAAUUUUAACCCUUUGUCCCAUUAUAGCACAACAGAAAAAGUACCAUGGGUUUCAAGUGCUCUCCUUAGCCUUAUUUGGAGCUUCAAUCCAAGAGGGACCGAGAUUGUGGGUGUGCUAGGCCGCUGCAACAAUUAAGGGUCAACAAAGAAAGUGUUUUCUUACUCGAUGUGGUUUGUAUGAGCUAGUAGAGCUCAUCUUAGUAGCUUCAUAUGUGUGAGGGAUCUGUACAACCCUCAAAGCUUAACUAGUGCUGUCUUAUUAUAAUUUGUGAACUAUUUUAAUUAAUGUAUGAUUAAGCCUAUGUCCCCAAAAAAAAAAAAAAGGUUGAACCUUGUUAAUUUUGACCAUCAUAAUACUUGUAAAUAAAUUUGAUAUGAAUUUAUGAUGUUUUUAUUUUUUUAAAAAACUGUAUCCUGUUUGGGAAAUUGAUGAUUAAAGUUCAUUUAAUUUCAAUACAGUUCCUCAAAAAAAAAAAAAAAAAAAAAAAUUUCAAUACAGAAUUCUUUGCCAAAAUAUACUGAUAUAACAGUCUUUCCCAUGUCUUCUGAUGCCACAGAGAUCACUGAAGUUAAACAACAAAAGCACAAGGUUAUUCAGAGUUUCAGACAAACAGAUGUUCUAUCACUCUUAUAUGUGUACAUUCUAGCUUACAUCUGCUUCUGUGCUGUUAUUAGAGUUUUGAACUGCACUCAGUGAUGUAUGGGUUAAUGUGGAUGAGAAAAACAAGAAGAAAGGUAUUCAGGACUUCAGGUUAUGUAAGCAAUGCACCUUACCCUUGGUUCAGUAAAGCCUCAUUCUAAAAUGAAGUUAUGAAAUUGUACUUAACCAAAAUUUGGUUCAAUUUGUGUUUUUUUAUUUUUUAUUUAUUUAUUUUUAUCGUCUUUAUUAUCAGCCUAAACAAUACUUAAUGCCAGAGUAGUAAAUAAGAACCACAGAAUAAUUUUACAACAAUGAGAGUACAUGUCCAUUUCCUAUUGCUGUUGACACUCAUUGUUCAAUGUGAAUAUUGAUGUCUAAUGCGUAUCAAUUUCUUGAUCUAAUGUCGCCUUUCGUGUUCAAUAAGGGAAGGUCACAAUGUGAAACAACUAAUGCCAACUCUAUUCAUAAUCUUCUUAAGAUGUAAUCUUUGUCUGGUGGCUCACAUCACAUUAGCUGUUGCAAACUUGCAAUAUAUUGCAUCGGCUUCUGAUGUUGCAAAUUAUCUUCCUUCUUCUUCAGUUGAAUGAUGCAGAGUCCCUGUAAUUGAUCUUCUGAUAAAGCAAGCCAAACAUGAAAAAUAUGAAGAAAAAAAAAUUAAAAAAUUAAGCUGCUGAUAUUCAUCUCUGCACUUUACUGUAAUGUCUUUGCUUUACCUACUUCUGAGUUAGCUGAAUGCUAGAUACUUCACCAAGCCUUGAUAUUCAAUCCGAAUACUUUCAAAAAAUAUAAGUCUUAUCAGAUGAACCCGGGAGUUCCCCCAAACGCUUCAGUAGGACUAAAGCAAUUUUCACCUAAUGAAGUGCUCAGAGGAACUCUAGGGAACACCUGAUGUGUUCAACUGCCAAUGCUUGAUGCAUGAGAUUUUGUUGGUCUUGCUAUUUAUAGCAACUUGUUUGAUAUUUUGGUCAGUAAAAUUUAUAUUCUUAUUUGAUGAUACAUAUAGAACCUAGCCGUUUUCCUGGGCCAAGUUAGACAUACAUGAGCAGAACAAUAGAACAGUAUUGAGUGGUCAAUAUGCUUUUUAUUUUUGAUUUUUUUUUUUUUUUUGGGUUUUGGUUUUGUUCUACGUUUUAUGCUUAACUUGAUUCAUGUUUUUUUAUAGUUCUGUCUUUAGUUUAAUUAUACAUGCUUAUAUGACACGCCUUUAUCUUUCUGUUUUUCUAAAAAAACGCGACUCUUUAUAAUAUUUUUCUUUUUUGACAGGGACUCUUAAUAAAUUUUUUUGUUGCAUUCUUUUUUCUAUAAUUUGUUGAACAAUGUGCUUGUGAUUUAAAAGUUGUGCGGUUAAUUUUCCUUAUAAGUACUCUCCAUUAUGUUAAUCUAUGACUUUGGUACGUUUUUUUCCUUGUUUGUGAGUGCAAUAUCUUUCUUACUUGUAUAAUCAACAUAAUAGCAGAAAAGUGACAUUCAGUACAUUUGUGAACAUUUUCAAAGCCAAUAAUGCCUUUAAUAAAUUCCAUAUUGUUUUGUCUUUCAUUAAUGCCUUUCUUAUUUAAGAAGUUGCUGCAAUAUUAGUAUCACUUGGUAUAUAUUGUUACCACUUCUGUACCGGAAAUACUAGCCUAAAUUGCAGUUUUUCUAUAGGGAAUAAUUUUUCUAAUCAGAAGCUUUGAC
Molecule: long non-coding RNA, 2502 nt
Organism: Chenopodium quinoa (quinoa)
Lineage: Eukaryota; Viridiplantae; Streptophyta; Magnoliopsida; Caryophyllales; Amaranthaceae
Exons: 2
Source: RefSeq, a predicted model, not a curated record